CUCCAGUAUGAGGCGUACAUGGCCAUACCAUGGGAGGCCCAGUCCUAGCACGCGCUACGGUGGUUGUCACUAAAUCAUCGACGAGCUCAAGGCUAAGCCGAUGAAGCCCCCUACUUCGAUCAUGUAGAUGGUGAGGGACGCGAUGUGGUUGCCAUCCAGAUCUAGGCAGGCGACCACAAGUGAGGGAGGCGACGACACGAGGUGGAGUGCGCAUGGUGCACGCCGACACUAGGUGAAGGGAUCUGGUUGUAGGGGCGACAGGAUGCGCGCCGGCGAGGGCGCCGGUGGCAUGAGCAGGUUUCUAUGCUAUGUAUGGCACGCUUGAGAAUAUCAUCCUAUUUUGUCGGGUUAUUUAAGAAUUACCAAGUACGGCUCAUGGAAACUGUAGCAUACUCAUUGCAAAACAUAUUCACUUUUUUCUUGAUUUUAUUGAAGUUCAAGAUCUAGGUAGGUGCAUCGAGCUGAUCAUGCAUGUUUG
RNAcentral lists this long non-coding RNA (478 nucleotides) under Zea mays. RNAcentral's name for it is "long non-coding RNA NONZMAT000498". The record is from RNAcentral. Lineage: Eukaryota; Viridiplantae; Streptophyta; Magnoliopsida; Poales; Poaceae.